AAUAAACCGCUGUACUUUCGACAUUUAGUUUCCGCUCCUCCUUGGUGUAUAUGUCAUUUUAUUUUUAAUCCUGAACUGUAAUGGGUUUUAUCGUAUGAUUUUUCAUGCUGCAGUGUCCAGCUUUAAUUUUUAGAAUUGCAUUAGUAGUUUCAUCUGGUUUGUGAGACUUUCUCCGCCGUGGCCUAGAAAUGUUUUAUAUGUUGUUGCCUACCGCCCCCCGCUUCCCUCUCCCUCCUCCUUUCUCUUGGAUGUAGUUUUUUAAUUGAGGGUCAUGGUAUUUGAUUAAAUGGUUAUUUACAGUUUACGUGAUGUAUCUAUUAAAAACUUUUGAUCUGUAGGGUUAGAUUUAAGUAAACGAAAAGCUCGUGCUGGUUUGAGAUGGUUCCUUAAAAUGCGCGGGCCGUCCCCCCCACCCCCCCCG
This 421-nucleotide long non-coding RNA is filed under the name Bos taurus (domestic cattle). RNAcentral describes it as "long non-coding RNA NONBTAT026207". The record is from RNAcentral. Lineage: Eukaryota; Metazoa; Chordata; Mammalia; Artiodactyla; Bovidae.